AUAUACGACCAUAGGGUGUGGAAAAUAGGGCUUCCCGUCCGCUCAGCCGUACUCAAGCCACACGCCGGUGAGUUAGUAGUUGGGUGGGUGACCACCAGCGAAUCCUCACUGUUGUAUGUU
RNAcentral lists this ribosomal RNA (120 nucleotides) under Penicillium italicum. The record is from RNAcentral. Lineage: Eukaryota; Fungi; Ascomycota; Eurotiomycetes; Eurotiales; Aspergillaceae.